GAUCUCAACUCAUACGUGACUACCCCCCGAUUUUUAGUUUUAUAAGCGGGAGAAAAGAUAACCAGG
This 66-nucleotide ribosomal RNA is filed under the name Phlebotomus papatasi. RNAcentral describes it as "partial 28S ribosomal RNA". The record is from RNAcentral. Lineage: Eukaryota; Metazoa; Arthropoda; Insecta; Diptera; Psychodidae.